CUCCCAUGGAAAACCAGCGCCUCUUCCAAAGCUGGAGGCGCCUUUGGUAGCCAGAGGGAACUGAGAUGCAAAGGCCUUCUUCUCAUCUGAGCAGGACCCUCUUGUACAGUCACCGAGGACUUGGGGGGCCACAUUGCGUCGUGAGAAGCCCCAGCCCAGGAGCUUGGUAGAAAUGCAUUCUCUGCCUCCACCCCAGACCUCCUGAAUCAGCGAUGCCGGAGUAGGGCCCAGCGGGCUGUGUUUGACCCAGCCUUCCAGGUGGCUCUGAUGCCUGCUGAAGUUUGAGAAUCACUUCCCCCGCUGAACAAGCUGACCUUCCAGAGCACGGAGAAUUCCCCCUUCCCUCCCUCCACCCAACUCCACUCCAAGGGGGAAACCUCCCCUCUGGUCCUGGGCCCCUGAGGCAGGUGUGAAACGGUCUGGCCUCAGGACUGGGCCAUCCCUGAUACUGGAAGAUAGGUCACUGUGGCCUGGGGCGUACUUGUGGGCUUAAAAUGAUAACAUAAAACCAGUACGUGGGAGGGACUGAGGUGAAAGGAAGAAUAAGCCUCCUCUUAAUCUCCUUAAUGUUCAGCCAUUAUAAUCCUAUAAUUACAACCAAUAAGCCAAUAACAGCUACCAUUUACCUGGAGGUGGUCACGAGCCACGCACUGUGGGGAGCACUUUACACGUAUCAUCUUUCAGCAAAUUUUGAGGGAUAUGGCUUUAUUUUACAAAAGAAGAAACUGAGGCACAGUGAGUUAGACAUCUCAUUGGAGGGCAUUCAGCCCUUCCUAAGUGUCAGAGUUGGGACCUAGCCCCACAUCUGUCUGACUCCAAGUCUUGGCCACGCUGCCUUAAUCCGAUGGCCAGUGUCCCUUACCACCACCAGCCCCACAACACUCUUCAUCACGGUUGAUGUGGGGCCAGAGGAAGACCAGGAGUGUGAACUUCCUUGCACUUCCACGGUAGUGCUUUCCACUAGCCUUUUUAAAUACUCAUCCUCUGCGGCCCGGUCCUCGCGAGGGCACCCCUGUAUCACACUGAUUCCUUUUGUGAUUUCAGGAGCCCACUCCUAUCUGUGCACAGUCCAAGGAGAAACCAGGGUUUAGCCCCAAACUGGCUCUGCUGCAAGUCACAUUAUGACGACAUCCCAGGGGGGUGUUCCUGCUAACAGAGACAGUCGGACCCCGAGGCACACCCCUUCUCCAGCUUUCUAUUAUCACAGGAACAUCUCUGCACCCUUGCCUCCUUCUCCUGAAGGAAGCUAAGGCCCUGUGUGGUUGCCCGACCUGCCCACGGAGGCCAGGGAAACAACAGAGCGAGAGCCAGACUCCAGGUUUCUGAAUUCCCAGCCAUUCUCUCGCACAGCAUUGUUGCUCUGGGAAGAGAGCUGGGAAUCCUGCGUCUGGCUGCCUGGGGGGCACAGCUAAAGGUUUUCUGGGAACAGGGGAGGAUCCUGCCCCAGGUGAGAACCAAUGAAACGGAGGGUUGCCUACUGCUCUCUCCUCUUUGCAAGAAUUCACUUCUCCAAGGAAUUAGGAGAGAGCAGAAUCGAACCGGAGACAGCCACCGGUAGGAGAAGAUUUCUGGCAUCUGAACCUCAUUUCAUAAGAGCCACCUUUGAGAGAGAGAGUUCCGUCAACCAACUAACCAGCCAAUUAGAAUCCAUCACUGAAGCUUGCACGUUGAACCACGGAUUGAUGACCAUGCUUCCUUCGUUCCCCCUCAGGUCCCAAAGUGGGACCUACAGAAUCGUUUUCAAGUGGAAUAUGAGUGGUGGUUUCCCACAGUUCGGCAGAGGAGUUGAGCUCAGAAACUCAGUUCUUCUCCGACUUUGUAAGCUCAGUGUUUUGGAAUCACUCACUGCCAUCUGCCUUCACAGCCUCCAGGAAACAAGGAACAGAAAAGGAGAGAACAAUGGAAUCCAUGGACCGGUGGGUUGCCCCCUCAGCUCUGCCUCUUAAGAGUCUCAGAACAGUUACUAAACCUC
This is a long non-coding RNA of Felis catus (domestic cat), 1972 nucleotides long. RefSeq lists it as uncharacterized. Lineage: Eukaryota; Metazoa; Chordata; Mammalia; Carnivora; Felidae. The record is from RefSeq and is a predicted model, not a curated record. The transcript has 4 exons.